CUGCACUGAGCACCGUUGGAGUCGGGCUUUGCAGGAGCCCUUCACGGCCCCGACAUGCUGUGACUCUGAAUGCAUUUCAUUGUCAGCCCAAGUCCAUGAUCACCUGCAGGACAAACAGUCAAAGGCAGACCUGAGAACCAGGCUUCUGUCUGACUUUGCUGUUUACUUGCCGCACAAGCUCGCAGAGAGAACCUUUGCCAGUGCUCCUUCCUGUGUGCCAGACUUCAGAGUAAGAGGGACAGAGGGGACCUAGCCUCAUACAAGGGACCCACACGGCAUCAGAGCAGGAGAGACCUUUGUGUUGAUGCCCAUUUCUGACUUCCUUCAUCGACACGAAGAUGGCCAGAGACCAGGCCUCGGAGAAGACCUCAUGUCCCUCGUGCUUCAGGUCCUCUUCCGUCUGAAUCCAGAGGUUGCUGGAUCUGCGCAGACAGAGUGGGAAGAGAGCUCAUCCUCAUGGAAUGAUGGCGCUGCUGCGGUGACAAUCAAACCCCAAGGUCAUAUUUCCUGUAAAUUCUGUGAGGGAUUCUCUCAGCGUGGAGAGAAGAAGGAUGACCCCUCUGGCUCUGUGACAGCUCCCUCCAGAGGCCAAAAUGUCCCCUUCAUUUCUGGGCUCUGGCUCGGUCAGAAGCUCUCGACGUGAGUUUGUCCCCAAGACAGUCCGUCCUGUAAGUGCGCGCUGUGUUUUGUGCUAAGGAAUGAGUGAAGGUCGCCUGGAACGGCUCUGAAAUGAUUUCUUCUCAGGAACGUUUGCGUGGGUACAAGAGACACUGGAUUUCUAACCUGGUCGUAUCUCACCUGUGUGUUUUUAGUUUCUAUCUGCAGUGUGCCAAAUCGCGAUCCCAAUUUCUUUUAAAAAUGGAUGUAAAUUGAAGUUUAUUACAUAUAAAGGUAAAUACACACAGCA
RNAcentral lists this long non-coding RNA (907 nucleotides) under Fukomys damarensis (Damara mole-rat). RNAcentral describes it as "lncRNA (ENSFDAG00000028392.1)". Lineage: Eukaryota; Metazoa; Chordata; Mammalia; Rodentia; Bathyergidae. The record is from RNAcentral.